RNAcentral lists this ribosomal RNA (292 nucleotides) under Staphylococcus aureus. Its description in RNAcentral is "partial 16S ribosomal RNA". It matches the Rfam family "Bacterial small subunit ribosomal RNA", at positions 1 to 282 of the family's 1533-position model. The record is from RNAcentral. Lineage: Bacteria; Bacillati; Bacillota; Bacilli; Caryophanales; Staphylococcaceae.
UUUAUGGAGAGUUUGAUCCUGGCUCAGGAUGAACGCUGGCGGCGUGCCUAAUACAUGCAAGUCGAGCGAACGGACGAGAAGCUUGCUUCUCUGAUGUUAGCGGCGGACGGGUGAGUAACACGUGGAUAACCUACCUAUAAGACUGGGAUAACUUCGGGAAACCGGAGCUAAUACCGGAUAAUAUUUUGAACCGCAUGGUUCAAAAGUGAAAGACGGUCUUGCUGUCACUUAUAGAUGGAUCCGCGCUGCAUUAGCUAGUUGGUAAGGUAACGGCUUACCAAGGCAACGAUGC